This 1715-nucleotide long non-coding RNA is filed under the name Lynx pardinus (Iberian lynx). The record is from RNAcentral. Lineage: Eukaryota; Metazoa; Chordata; Mammalia; Carnivora; Felidae.
CUGACUCACAAGAGGAGCUGCAGGACUGGGUGAAGAAAAUCCGAGAAGUGGCCCAGACGGCAGACGCCAGGGUAAGGGGCAUCUGUGGGGUGCAGGUGGGCAGCAUGUGAACCUGUUGGGGGUGAGGCCUGCAGCACCAGGCCUGCCUCUAGGCUGGGACCUGGAGGAAACCACACACACACACACACACACACACACACACAGACACACACACAGCAGGCCGUGUGGCUCGUUCAGGACAGAGAUGGAUAGCGGCCGUGGGCCGCCCUGUGGAUCUGCAUGGUCGGCAGUUGGACACACAGGGGCCGAGCAAGAGCAGUCUUGUGCUGGAAGCAGGAGCGGGUGCCCAGAGGCUUGGGAGGAAUGGGUGGUGUGGAGUGGGGAGAGGGUUUAACUUUGGAGGGUGUUGGUGGCAGGGGGAGCCUGGAAGGGCAGGGCCAAGAGGUGGAUGGUAUCUGAUGUGUGAGGGCUGCAGAGGUACCAACGGGCACGAUAACCUGAAAGUGCCCGGGGUUUUGGCAGCAGCAAAUGGCCCUAGUGUCACUACUAGGAACCAUGGUGGUGGGUCUCUAUGGGGCUAGAGCUGGGGCCAGCUUUCACGCUUGGCUGUAGGAGGAGCCAGCAGAGAGGAGGGAGGCCACUUCCGCUGAGCCUGGGGGAGCGGAGGGAAGGAUGUAUUCACAGGGGUUAAGGGAAUUCUGUGUGAUGGCCAUUCCCCGGGUGGUUGGUGUGGGUGGAGGGCGACAAGGCAGGUCUGUGGCUGCUUUGGAGGAUGGGUACCUGUGAGCCGCAAAGAGAACAGAAGGUGCUGAGGAUUUUAUUGGCAGACUGGCUGGUGGAGGGGAUGGAUUCUGGGGUCUGGGCUGGAAGAGGAAGUAAGAAUGUGAGUGUAGGAGCCCUUGAUGGAAGAAAGUGGGCCUCCGGAGCUAUGAGGACAGGACGGGAUGCGCUUGUGAGUGGCCACGGUGGGUAGGUGGCUGUGUCGGGCAGGGGGGCAUCUGAGGGUGUGAAGCCAUUAGGCCCGCAAGGUGGGAGGAGUCUCCUCAGCACCGAGACCUGAGUCCCCACUGGAGUCACAGGAGGCUGCCUUGCUUAAGGGAGGCUGGGUACCCGAUGGUCACAAAGCAUCACCAAAGAGUGCAGCCAACCCCAGGACCCUGAGCUGUCACUGGGGUGUGGGUGAUGAGGACAUCAGCCUCUAAGAGUCCUAGGAGGGCAAGUGUGGCCUUGGGGGCAGAGAAAAGGAAGGAGGAUUCUGGGGUGUACUGUCCAGUGGGGUGUGGGAGAUUCGGGGGACAGGGCAGGGCCUAGAGAGUACCUGCACUGUGGGUAUGCCUAAGCUGGCAGGGGCAUCCUUCCGGGUGGGGCAUCAGGCCAUGUGUGUGUGUCACCAGCUCACGGAGGGCAAGAUGAUGGAGCGGAGGAAGAAGAUCGCCCUGGAGCUCUCCGAGCUGGUUGUCUACUGUCGGCCUGUUCCCUUUGAUGAAGAGAGUAAGGGCCGAGGGCUGGUGGGGGUGUGUUUGGGCGCCCUCCCUGGCAGGUGGAAGACGUACAUUUUGUCCCUUUGUAUGGGGGGUGGGGGAGCUGCCCGGGUGGGUGGGCUCUGUAAGCAUUCUCCCUGUUUGGCCCAGAGAUUGGCACAGAACGUGCCUGCUACCGGGACAUGUCGUCCUUCCCGGAAACCAAGGCUGAGAAAUACGUGAACAAGGCCAAAG